CCUACGGGUGGCAGCAGUGGGGAAUAUUGGGCAAUGGAGGAAACUCUGACCCAGCCAUGCCGCGUGAGUGAUGAAGGCUCUAGGGUUGUAAAGCUCUUUCGCCGAUGAAGAUAAUGACGGUAGUCGGAGAAGAAGCCCCGGCUAACUUCGUGCCAGCAGCCGCGGUAAUACGAAGGGGGCUAGCGUUGUUCGGAAUUACUGGGCGUAAAGCGCACGUAGGCUGUGCCGCAAGUCAGGGGUGAAAUCCCAGAGCUCAACUCUGGAACUGCCUUUGAAACUGCGGUGCUAGAAUCUCAGAGGGGGUAGCGGAAUUCCAAAUGUAGGGGUGAAAUCCGUAGAUAUUUGGAGGAACACCGGUGGCGAAGGCGGCUACCUGGAUGAGUAUUGACGCUGAGGUGCGAAAGCGUGGGGAUCAAACAGGAUUAGAUACCCCAGUAGUC
RNAcentral lists this ribosomal RNA (440 nucleotides) under uncultured bacterium. RNAcentral's name for it is "bacterial SSU rRNA". It matches the Rfam family "Bacterial small subunit ribosomal RNA", at positions 338 to 795 of the family's 1533-position model. The record is from RNAcentral.